UGGGGAAUAUUGCACAAUGGACGGAAGUCUGAUGCAGCGACGCCGCGUGGGGGUUGUAGGCCUUCGGGUUGUGAACUCCUUUUUCUCGCGAAAAAGGCACAGUUUUGGCUGUGUUGAUGGUAGGGGGGGAAGAACCGCGGGCAAACUACGGGCCAGCAGCCGCGGUAAUACGUAGGGCGCGAGCGUUGUCCGGAUUUAUUGGGCGUAAAGAGCUCGUAGGUGGUUCGUCGCGUCUGUCGUGAAAGCCAGCGGCUUAACUGUUGGUCUGCGGUGGGUACGGGCGGGCUUGAGUGCGGUAGGGGGGACUGGAAUUCCUGGUGUAGCGGUGGAAUGCGCAGAUAUCAGGAGGAACACCGGUGGCGAAGGCAGGUCACUGGGCCGUUACUGACACUGAGGAGCGAAAGCGUGGGGAGCGAACAGG
Molecule: ribosomal RNA, 421 nt
Filed under: Fusobacteriota bacterium
Lineage: Bacteria; Fusobacteriati; Fusobacteriota
Description: Fusobacteria bacterium partial 16S ribosomal RNA
Rfam family: Bacterial small subunit ribosomal RNA
Source: RNAcentral